Molecule: ribosomal RNA, 667 nt
Filed under: uncultured Actinomycetes bacterium
Lineage: Bacteria; Bacillati; Actinomycetota; Actinomycetes
Description: bacterial SSU rRNA
Rfam family: Bacterial small subunit ribosomal RNA
Source: RNAcentral
AACGCUGGCGGCGUGCUUACAAUUGCUGAAGACGAGUCCUCCGAUCUCGGAGUAGGAAGACCUAGUGGCGAACGGGUGCGUAACAAGUGAGAAACCUGCCCCGGUCUCUGGGAUAACAGUUGGAAACGACUGCUAAUACCGGAUGCCGUCGGACCGUCGCAUGGCGGACCGACGAAAGGGUUACCGGAUCGGGAAGGUCUCGCGGCCUAUCAGCUUGUUGGUGAGGUAACGGAUCAACAAAGCAUCGACGGGUAGCUGGUCUGAGAGGAUGAUCAGCCACACUGGGACUGAGACACAGCCCAGACACCUACGGGAAGACAGAAAGUGGGGAAUAUUGCACAAUGGGCGAAAGACUGAUGCAGCAACGCCGCGUGCGGGAUGAAGGCCCUAGGGUUGUAAACCGCUUUCCGCAGGGCAGAAAAUGACGGUACCUGUAGAAGAAAGUGCGGUCAACUACGUGCCAGCAGUCGCGGUUGACACGUAAGCACCAAGCGUUGUCCGGAUUGAUUGGGCGUAAAGAGCUCAUAAGCGGAUCAGUAAGUCGGGUGUGAUAACUCUGGGGUCAACCCAGAGACGACCCCGAUACUGUAGUGAAUAGAGUGCCGUAAGGGAGCGGGGACUACCUAAUGUACAGGGGAAAUGCGCAAAUAUUAAGAGGAACACCAGU